Molecule: long non-coding RNA, 184 nt
Organism: Mizuhopecten yessoensis (Yesso scallop)
Lineage: Eukaryota; Metazoa; Mollusca; Bivalvia; Pectinida; Pectinidae
Exons: 2
Source: RefSeq, a predicted model, not a curated record
UCAUUGUAUACAGGCUAUUAGAAGGAGGUAGAGACUAUUUCAUUGUAUACAGGCUGAUAGAAGGAGGUAAAGACUAUUUCAUUGUAUACAGGCUGAUAGAAGGAGGUAAAGACUAUUUCAUUGUAUACAGGCUGAUAGAAGGAGGUAGAGACUAUUUCAUUGUAUACAGGCUGAUAGAAGGAGG